RNAcentral lists this ribosomal RNA (264 nucleotides) under uncultured Vibrio sp. RNAcentral describes it as "partial 16S ribosomal RNA". It matches the Rfam family "Bacterial small subunit ribosomal RNA", at positions 251 to 507 of the family's 1533-position model. Lineage: Bacteria; Pseudomonadati; Pseudomonadota; Gammaproteobacteria; Vibrionales; Vibrionaceae. The record is from RNAcentral.
GGUGAGGUAAGGGCUCACCAAGGCGACGAUCCCUAGCUGGUCUGAGAGGAUGAUCAGCCACACUGGAACUGAGACACGGUCCAGACUCCUACGGGAGGCAGCAGUGGGGAAUAUUGCACAAUGGGCGCAAGCCUGAUGCAGCCAUGCCGCGUGUAUGAAGAAGGCCUUCGGGUUGUAAAGUACUUUCAGCAGUGAGGAAGGUUCAUACGUUAAUAGCGUAUGGAUUUGACGUUAGCUGCAGAAGAAGCACCGGCUAACUCCGUG